RNAcentral lists this long non-coding RNA (409 nucleotides) under Vigna radiata. RNAcentral describes it as "long non-coding RNA (VRAD_LNC003081)". Lineage: Eukaryota; Viridiplantae; Streptophyta; Magnoliopsida; Fabales; Fabaceae. The record is from RNAcentral.
GAUGAUUGAUUAAUUUUUGUGCAUUGCAUUCGCUUAGUCUGUAAUUUUGAAGACCGAAUUAGCCUUCGCUUAGUUGGGUGAUUCGUGUCGGAUUUGGAUUAGAGUAGUGUGUACUUGUCGUUAAUUUGUGAUUGGAAGCAUAGUGAUUGAGUUGAUGACCAACCAUUGUUAUUCUGCAUUUGAUUCUGUUUUGCAUUUCUGUUGCAUCUGUGUUUUAAUUUAGUUUAUCCGCAUUCACAANUUUUUCAAAACCCCCCUUUUUGUGUUAGACUUGACUCUGAACCGCAGUUGGUCCUUGAGAGACGACCUAGGAGUCACUUCCUAGUCUAUACUGCAUUUCUUAUUAUGCAAUCAAAUUUGAUUGGGCGGCGACACCCAUCAGUAUAGUGUGGUUACUCCUACAUGGUUG